This 253-nucleotide ribosomal RNA is filed under the name Chaetoceros curvisetus. Its description in RNAcentral is "partial Bacterial small subunit ribosomal RNA". It matches the Rfam family "Bacterial small subunit ribosomal RNA", at positions 681 to 932 of the family's 1533-position model. Lineage: Eukaryota; Bacillariophyta; Thalassiosirophyceae; Chaetocerotales; Chaetocerotaceae. The record is from RNAcentral.
GUGAAAUGCAUAGAUAUUACUUAGAACACCAAUUGCGAAGGCAGGUUACCAAGAUAUAACUGACGCUGAGGGACGAAAGCGUGGGGAGCGAACAGGAUUAGAUACCCUGGUAGUCCACGCCGUAAACGGUGGAUGCUGGAUGUGGGGCCCGUUCCAGGGUUCCGUGUCGGAGCUAACGCGUUAAGCAUCCCGCCUGGGGAGUACGGUCGCAAGACUAAAACUCAAAGAAAUUGACGGGGGCCCGCACAAGCGG